Molecule: long non-coding RNA, 2247 nt
Organism: Equus asinus (donkey)
Lineage: Eukaryota; Metazoa; Chordata; Mammalia; Perissodactyla; Equidae
Source: Ensembl
CUGCCUCUGCGGACACGCAUUGCCCUCUCCCGUCGUCCUCCGCCCCACGUAGUCCGCCGGGACUCAGCUGCCCCGGCUCCCCCGGCUUCAAACCCACAGCGCGUGGAGGAGGGGCUCGGCUCGGCUCGGCUCGGGGACUGCGGCGGCGGGCAGCGUGUCUGCGGGCGUUCCUCCCUCCAGCCCCAGCGCUCAGGAAAGCCAAGCUGUGCAGACGGGGUCCCAGCCGCCAUCUCACUCUGCCGGGAUGCCCACAGGCAGGUGUGGCGCUUCCUCCCUCCAAAGCUGCCCCUGGUCUCCACUGAGACCUGCUGUCUCACCAACUGGCUAAAGGCUGAAUGUGACUCCCCACACCCAUGUGUCACGUAUUUAAGACGGGGCUUCCUAAUCCUGUCACAUCGAGGCUCAGAAGUACAUCACCCUCGGAAGUACGUCACCCUGGCGACGGGAUGACGCCACUACAGCCAAGGAGAGCAGCCUGGAGGCUGGCGGCCCCGCAGAGACCCCAGGGUGAGGGCGUCAGAAUGUCCUCGUGCCUCGGACUCUUGCAGUUAGAUGCUCUGAUCUAAGGUGGGCCCUCCCUCUUGGAGAACAAAAGAAACAGAACCGACACAGUUUGCUCAAGUGACAUAUUUCAAUAUAAUCUCUAAAACUCUAUGAAUUAAACAGAUAAAAUACCUCUGGGCUAUUUUGUUACAAAAUAUUUGCCAUUUGGAUUAGCUGCUGGGUGCAGCCACCCUGCCUUUCCCUAGAGAGGUUUCUCUCCCAUGGGGUGAAGGGUGUAUGCAGGGAAGAGGGAGAGCAGCAAGGAGGUGAGGACAGCAGGACACAGGGACGGACGGACAGAUGGUCAUCAGGAAGUCUACUGGGCACAGAGACAUUCUGCAGGCUGUGGAGGGACAGGGGUGGGGGUCAAGGGCCCGGGGCUGAUAAGUGUGUGCCUUUGGACACAGGCAGGCGGGCUUCCAGGUCAAGCUGCCAGGGCAGGAUCUUGCUCCAGGUCUGGAGGUAUGACUUGCCCAAAAGUGGGUGGGAAAGCCAGUUUUGUCUCCCACUUCUGAUUCUGGAGUUGGGGCCAAAUGGAUAAAAUUGAGAGAGGGGCCCAGGUCCCCCAAAGUAAGGCCUAGAGAGUUGACAGAGCAGGGCCAUGUUGGGGUCACUGGGCAUGUACCCAGCAGUCUGUGUCCCGGAGUUCAGUCAGCACUCCACUGCCCCUCGGCCUUGGACGACCAGGAGGGCCCAAGAGCCUCUCCAGCUGGGCCCUCUGGGAGGGCUGGGGGCCUGACAAGGCCCUGCAUGGGGAGGGGCAGGAGGCUCGCUCCAGGUCUCUUGGUGCUGGGCUCUGGGGACUGGGACAGAGUUGGGUCCCAACCUUAGCCUGGUGACUGAUCGGGGAGGGAGGUUACAGAUGCUGGGAACUCUGGCUUCUCUGACAGUGAGGAGGGCCAGCUGCACCUGCCCUGGCCUUCAGGAAUUAAAAGCCCCUCACAGCUCAGGACCAGCUCCAUGUGCUGCUGACCCCAGGGUUGUCUGCUUCCUAGGCUGGGACUCCCAGUGCUGCCAGUGGGGCCCAGGGCAGCCACCACAGCAGCCAGGGGUAAGCCCCUACCUGGAGAAGGACAGUGAGAUGCCUGAGUAUCCAGGGCCUCAGAAAGAGACAGGCUUCAUGCACCUGCCAGCCCUAAGACCUCUGUGGGUCCUGCCUGGAAAGUUGGGGCUUCAGCAGAGGUGGGGGGAGGGGCCAGAGCUGCCCAUCAGCUGGGAGGAGGGUACUUGGCCAACUGGAAGCACUAUGUGAGCACGGUGGGCACUGUGCCCCUUCCUCGGCAGCCCCUGGCACUUGUGGUCCCCACCUCAUAAACAUAUUUAGGCACCUCAUAACUCCUCUUCCUCCAUAACUCACUCCCCGCCGCCCAGCCGUAACUCCCAGUCUAUUUGCAGCCCCCUCAUUCAAGAUCAUCCACUGCAUCCUCACAGCCCCGGUGCCUCCUGAGUCCCUGACACCUGCUGCCCUGGCCAAGGGUGGCAGUCGUGUCUGGAUUCGUGCACCCCAUCUGUCAGCCACUCCGUUCCGAAAGGCUCUGAUUGGACUGGACUCUGUUCCAGAAAAGGCACGGGAGAGGGGCCAGGGCAACAAGGAGGGGAGAGCAGAUCUGCUGGGAGCCACAGUGGGAGGAGACGGCAAACUGGUCACGAGUUACGGAAACUGGGCUGACAAAGACAGGGCCGGAAAUAAACUUGCUGAGUGAC